UACGAAGGGGGCUAGCGUUGUUCGGAAUUACUGGGCGUAAAGCGCGCGCAGGCGGUUCUUCAAGUCAGAGGUGAAAGCCCAGAGCUCAACUCUGGAAUGGCCUUUGAGACUAGAGAACUAGGGUACGGGAGAGGUGAGUGGAAUUCCGAGUGUAGAGGUGAAAUUCGUAGAUAUUCGGAAGAACACCAGUGGCGAAGGCGGCUCACUGGCCCGUUAACGACGCUCAGGCGCGACAGCGUGGGGAGCAAACAGG
RNAcentral lists this ribosomal RNA (253 nucleotides) under uncultured bacterium. RNAcentral describes it as "partial 16S ribosomal RNA". It matches the Rfam family "Bacterial small subunit ribosomal RNA", at positions 524 to 776 of the family's 1533-position model. The record is from RNAcentral.